RNAcentral lists this ribosomal RNA (472 nucleotides) under uncultured bacterium. RNAcentral describes it as "bacterial SSU rRNA". It matches the Rfam family "Bacterial small subunit ribosomal RNA", at positions 41 to 534 of the family's 1533-position model. The record is from RNAcentral.
GGCGUGCUUAACACAUGCAAGUCGAACGGAUGAAAUAAGCUUGCUUAUUUCGUUAGUGGCGCACGGGUGAGUAAUGUAUAGCUAACCUGCCCUUUAGUGGGGGACAACAGUUGGAAACGACUGCUAAUACCCCAUAUUCCUUCUUAUCAUAAGGUAAGUUGGGAAAGAUUUUAUUGCUAAAGGAUGGGGCUUUAUGGUAUCAGCUAGUUGGUGGGGUAACGGCCUACCAAGGCUAUGACGCCUACCUGGUCUGAGAGGAUGAUCAGGCACACUGGAACUGAGACACGGUCCAGACUCCUACGGGAGGCAGCAGUGGGGAAUAUUGCACAAUGGAGGAAACUCUGAUGCAGCAACGCCGCGUGGAGGAUGACGCAUUUCGGUGUGUAAACUCCUUUAUAAGGAAGAUAAUGACGGUACCUUAUGAAUAAGCACCGGCUAACUCCGUGCCAGCAGCCGCGGUAAUACGGAGGUG